CCCACUCAGAUGCACCUGUAUGAACUUUGCCGCAAAUCUUAUUCGUAUUCCGUUACUGUCCAAAUUCUGAUUUUAAUGUCAUUAUGAACUUCACCACGCUCAAAACUCUUUCUAAUUAGAGCCUGGGUCCAGCUUUGCCUGACCUUGCAUUUGAGGUAGAGAAAGCCUCCAAAUAGAGGGGAUUCCAGAAGAAGAGACACCUUCAGUUCUGGCAGUGCUCAGACAUGUACCAUGGAACCAUAGCACUGGCCUUGCUGUCUUAAUUGCAUCCAUCCUGAGCAUACUUCUUGCCUGAGUGGGCUCAGACAUUGCAUCAGUGUCCUCCAGUAAUGCGACAAACUCUUCUUACACUGGCUAAUUCAAUCUAACUAUCCCUCUCAGAGGCUUAUGAUGAAGGUGGCUGCAUUACAUGUGAAGAUAUCUGUGUGAGGAUCUCAAGUCCUUUUGUCGUGAUGGGGAGAGGAAGGGAAAAAAAACGAAGCCAUGAUGAAAACUUUUGAAUCCAG
Long non-coding RNA from Cuculus canorus (common cuckoo), 506 nucleotides. RefSeq lists it as uncharacterized. NCBI's taxonomy places the organism in Eukaryota, Metazoa, Chordata, Aves, Cuculiformes, Cuculidae. The transcript has 3 exons. The record is from RefSeq and is a predicted model, not a curated record.